This 117-nucleotide ribosomal RNA is filed under the name Pteropus alecto (black flying fox). The record is from RNAcentral. Lineage: Eukaryota; Metazoa; Chordata; Mammalia; Chiroptera; Pteropodidae.
GUCUCUGCAAAGAAUGGGAAAUUCGCCCAAUCCUGUCUGAUCUCAGAAGCUAAGCAGGGUCGGGCCUGGUUAGUACUUGGAUGGGAGACCACCUAGGAAGACCAGGUGCUGUAGGCG